AUUCCAGCUCCAAUAGCGAAUACUAAUUCUGCUGCAGUUAAAAAGCUCGUAGUUGAACUUCUGGUAGGACAGAUCCGGCCUUUGGAUGAAUGUCCAUUGUAUGCUGUGUGUCUUGUCUGGCCAUCCUUUAUGUCUUUUAGGCGUAAUCUUUCACUGUAAAAAAAUUAGGGUGUUUCAAGCAAAAGUUAUUUGGAAUAUAUUAGUAUGGGAUGAUAAGAUAGGCUCUUGAGUGCUACUUUGUUGGUUUAUACACUUAGAGAAUGAUUAAUAGGGAUAGUUGGGGGUAUUCAUAUUUGGUUGUCAGAGGUGAAAUUCUUGGAUUUUUCAAAGAUGAACAAGUGCGAAAGCAUUUACCAAGGAUGUUUUCAUCA
RNAcentral lists this ribosomal RNA (371 nucleotides) under Thraustochytriidae sp. Its description in RNAcentral is "Thraustochytriaceae sp. partial small subunit ribosomal RNA". It matches the Rfam family "Eukaryotic small subunit ribosomal RNA", at positions 582 to 975 of the family's 1831-position model. The record is from RNAcentral. Lineage: Eukaryota; Bigyra; Thraustochytrida; Thraustochytriidae.